Molecule: ribosomal RNA, 403 nt
Filed under: uncultured bacterium
Lineage: Bacteria
Description: partial 16S ribosomal RNA
Rfam family: Bacterial small subunit ribosomal RNA
Source: RNAcentral
GACGAACGCUGGCGGCGUGCCUAAUACAUGCAAGUCGAACGCAGUGGGGACGGGUGAGUAACACGUGGGUAACCUCCCAUCAGAGGGGAUAACCCUUGGAUACAGGUGCUAAACCGAUACUGAUGGAUGGACCCGGGGUGGAUUAGCUUGUUGGGGGGGUAACGGCUCACCAAGGCCACGAUGCCUAGCCGACCUGAGAGGGUGAUCGGCCACACUGGGACUGAGACACGGCCCAGACUCCUACGGGAGGCAGCAGUGGGGAAUCUUGGGCAAUGGACGAAAGUCUGACCGAGCCACGCCGCGUGUAUGAAGAAGGUUUUCGGGUCGUAAAGCUCUGUUGUUAGAGAAGCGGUAUCUAACCAGAAAGCCACGGCUAACUCCGUGCCAGCAGCCGCGGUAAUAC